UUUUGGGAGGAAAAAAGAGGUAAGUUUUCCGAUUCCGUGCCGAGAAUUAAUUAUAUCAGAUAUAACAUUAUGUUAUGAAGAUGUUAGUAAUGAAAUUUUAGGGUUUGAGUCAGCCCAAAACGUUACCAAACAGCCCAUAAGUUUCAGCUGCGCUAAAGGAAAUUCCGAGGCAAGGUUUGGCGAGUUUUGGUGAAUUUCGGGAAAGGUUCAAGAGACGACGAGGCGAGCAUAGUUAAGAGUAAUCCGUAAGAGGUACAGAUGAUUGGUUUGCUGAUCCGCUCGCUUAGGACAUCCACCAUGUUGGUCGACAGUGCUCCUUUGUUCGGAGUCCUAUUUUGGUACUGACACCUUCUGUUGUAUAUAUAUAUACGUUGUUCAGGGUACGGCGUGGCCCUGUCCCGUCAUAUGACUAGGAUAUCAUUCUGUAGAGGUCUGUAGACAUGAGAUGUGGGUUUUGUAUAUAUGUUUUGGGUUUUUUCUGUGUUCCGUGAUGGCUUAU
Solanum dulcamara is the source of this 499-nucleotide long non-coding RNA. RefSeq lists it as uncharacterized. Lineage: Eukaryota; Viridiplantae; Streptophyta; Magnoliopsida; Solanales; Solanaceae. The transcript is spliced from 3 exons. The record is from RefSeq and is a predicted model, not a curated record.